AAUAAGUGCAGUUUUACAACAUUUAAUUAUUCAUUUUAUUUUAAAAAUUUUUAUGAUUAGUAUUUUUUUUAUUGUAUUAUAAAACACGAAUAGUACUUUAUGCGUAACUAAUUUUUUUUAAUUUUUUCAUAAGAAUGGUCAAACGUUGGACACGGAUAUUCAUGACUGCGCUUAUU
This 176-nucleotide microRNA precursor is filed under the name Oryza punctata. RNAcentral's name for it is "MIR812 microRNA precursor family". It matches the Rfam family "MIR812 microRNA precursor family". Lineage: Eukaryota; Viridiplantae; Streptophyta; Magnoliopsida; Poales; Poaceae. The record is from Rfam by way of RNAcentral.